Molecule: long non-coding RNA, 224 nt
Filed under: Mytilus galloprovincialis (Mediterranean mussel)
Lineage: Eukaryota; Metazoa; Mollusca; Bivalvia; Mytilida; Mytilidae
Source: RNAcentral
GCCAAGUAGUUUCAGAGGAGAAGAUUUUUGUAAAAGAUUACUAAGAUUUACGAAAAAUGGUUAAAAAUUGACUAUAAAGGGCAAUAACUCCUAAAGGGGUCAACUGACCAUUUUCGUCAUGUUGACUUAUUUGUAAAUCUUACUUUGCUGAACAUUAUUGCUGUUUACAGUUUAUCUCUAUCUAUAAUAAUAUUCAAGAUAAUAACCAAAAACAGCAAAAUUUU